AUCAUAUUACCUCCGUCCCAAAAAGGUUGUUUUAGAUUUAUAGAUACGGAUGUAUCUAGACACGUUAGUGUCUAGAUACAUCCGUAUCUUCACAAAUCUAAGACAAGCUUUUUGAGAGGGAGGGAGUACUUA
This is a non-coding RNA of Triticum aestivum (bread wheat), 132 nucleotides long. Lineage: Eukaryota; Viridiplantae; Streptophyta; Magnoliopsida; Poales; Poaceae. The record is from Rfam.